This 65-nucleotide transfer RNA is filed under the name Kamimuria wangi. RNAcentral describes it as "tRNA-Ala". Lineage: Eukaryota; Metazoa; Arthropoda; Insecta; Plecoptera; Perlidae. The record is from RNAcentral.
AGGACUGUAGUUAUUAUAACAUUUGGUUUGCAUCUAAAAAGUAUUGAUUUAUUCAAUCUGUCUUA